RNAcentral lists this ribosomal RNA (253 nucleotides) under uncultured bacterium. RNAcentral's name for it is "partial 16S ribosomal RNA". It matches the Rfam family "Bacterial small subunit ribosomal RNA", at positions 524 to 776 of the family's 1533-position model. The record is from RNAcentral.
UACGGGGGGGGCAAGCAUUGUUCGGAAUUACUGGGCGUAAAGCGUGCGCAGGCGGUUCGUGAUGUCUGGUGUGAAAGCCCCGGGCUUAACCUGGGAAUUGCAUUGGAAACUAGCGGGCUGGAGUGUGGCAGAGGGGGGUGGAAUUCCACGUGUAGCAGUGAAAUGCGUAGAGAUGUGGAGGAACACCGAUGGCGAAGGCAGCCCCCUGGGCUAACACUGACGCUCAUGCACGAAAGCGUGGGGAGCAAACAGG